Molecule: unclassified non-coding RNA, 432 nt
Filed under: Hevea brasiliensis (rubber tree)
Lineage: Eukaryota; Viridiplantae; Streptophyta; Magnoliopsida; Malpighiales; Euphorbiaceae
Source: RNAcentral
GCAUAUUAAAGGCUUGCACUUCCAAUGUAACUUCUCUUUGUGUUCUGGGAUUUUCACUGAUUUGAUAUUCACACGUAACAAUUUCUAUGAUGCACUUACAUCAAAGCACGAGAACAUUAAACGAUUUCUACAAUGAAAGUUAAAUUUCAUAUAGAAACACGUACUACCCGCGCUAAGCCGCUAACACACUGCACAUAAAAUAGAUCCAAGAAACAUACUGGUUAAGAAGCCAAUUAGCUGACUCCAGCAACAGAGACUGCAAAGGCAAAACCAGUGUCCUCACCCAUAUAUCAAGGGCGAGCUCUCUUGUUACUGCAGGAUGGGCACUUGUACUGCUUAAUAUGCUCAGCUCUAGCAGGGGUGAUCUUCACACACUUUCCAUGGAACCACUUCUCACAGAUGUCGCAACAAAUCCAGAAUUCAUCAGAUGCA